This is a long non-coding RNA of Dermacentor andersoni, 605 nucleotides long. RefSeq lists it as uncharacterized. The record is from RefSeq and is a predicted model, not a curated record. Lineage: Eukaryota; Metazoa; Arthropoda; Arachnida; Ixodida; Ixodidae.
UGGAGAGCUGAUAGUGCACAAUAUUUGAGAUGGCUGCUUCGAAGGUCCUUGUAUUCCUGCUCAUUGUUGCUAGUGUCAUGAUGAUAACCCAAGGUACGAAACCAGGUGGGUCAUCAUCCGGAGGAGGCCAUAGUGCCGCCGGGUCCACUGGGGCUUCUGGUUCCACCGGCGGCGCAGGUGGCGCCACUCCCGCUGGCGCUUCUGGUUCCACCGGCGGCGCAGGUGGCGCCACUCCCGCUGGCGCUCCUGCUGGUGCCGCCGCAGGCGCUGGUGGUGCCGCCGCAGGCGCUGGUGAUGCAGCCGCUUCCAAGUAGAAGCCUAAAGGUGCCACCGGUUGACGGAUACACUUGGAGGAACCGAAAAACCUCAAGAUCGCAACUUGUGGCGUUUGUGCUAACGUAAAGACAAAAACCAGUCACUAGAAAAAGACAUCUCAGUAUGGUCUCAUUAUUGCUUUCACAUAAUAUUGAAGUCAAGCACCAGCAAAACAAAGGAAAAGCAAAAUACAUAUCACAUCGGAUCACAACAUUCUCCUGAUAUGAGGUAUAAAAAUUCUAAAUAGAAAGCAGUGAUGUCAAUGAAUAAAUGUUAGUUAUUCUAAAAAA